RNAcentral lists this ribosomal RNA (207 nucleotides) under uncultured bacterium. RNAcentral describes it as "partial 16S ribosomal RNA". It matches the Rfam family "Bacterial small subunit ribosomal RNA", at positions 568 to 774 of the family's 1533-position model. The record is from RNAcentral.
CUCGUAGGCGGUUCGUCGCGUCCGGUGUGAAAGUCCAUCGCCUAACGGUGGAUCUGCGCCGGGUACGGACGGGCUGGAGUGCGGUAGGGGAGACUGGAAUUCCCGGUGUAACGGUGGAAUGUGUAGAUAUCGGGAAGAACACCAAUGGCGAAGGCAGGUCUCUGGGCCGUUACUGACGCUGAGGAGCGAAAGCGUGGGGAGCGAACA